GGGACGGCGCCGCGGGAACCGGGGAGCCCGGAGCCCCGGCGGGGGUGGCUCCGGCGGCUCGCUUUGCUCCGUUAUCAGGGGACACUUUCCAUAGACCGGGUCCGCCCCGUCCCGUCCGUCCUGGCCCUGGACACUGAACCUGCUGUGCCCGCUCGGUGAUUCCCCAGCGCGCACCGGAGAACGUGACUGCAUCCGUGGAACCCUCCUGGAACGGUCCCGGGGCGCUUUUGAUGCCUUUCCCCGAACGUCAGUGUGAAUAGAAGGAAUGAAGGAAGGGGUGAAUGAAGGAAUUCUGGUUAAGAUGAAAUCACGCACCAGCGUCUGGUUCUGCUGUCGGAUUCCAAACUGUUCUGUCCUGAGGCUGAUAGAAAUGUACAGGUUUUGUUCAAAAUC
Non-coding RNA from Lonchura striata (white-rumped munia), 393 nucleotides. The record is from RefSeq and is a predicted model, not a curated record. NCBI's taxonomy places the organism in Eukaryota, Metazoa, Chordata, Aves, Passeriformes, Estrildidae.